UCCUACGGGGGGCAGCAGUGGGGGAUAUUGCACAAUGGGGGAAACCCUGAUGCAGCGACGCCGCGUGGGCGAAGAAGUAUUUCGGUAUGUAAAGCCCUAUCAGCAGGGAAGAAGAAAUGACGGUACCUGAGUAAGAAGCACCGGCUAAAUACGUGCCAGCAGCCGCGGUAAUACGUAGGGGGCAAGCGUUAUCCGGAUUCACUGGGUGUAAAGGGAGCGUAGACGGCGACGCAAGUCUGGAGUGAAAGCCCGGGGCCCAACCCCGGGACUGCUCUGGAAACUGCGUCGCUGGAGUACGGGAGGGG
RNAcentral lists this ribosomal RNA (305 nucleotides) under uncultured bacterium. RNAcentral describes it as "bacterial SSU rRNA". It matches the Rfam family "Bacterial small subunit ribosomal RNA", at positions 337 to 657 of the family's 1533-position model. The record is from RNAcentral.